GAUGAACGCUGGCGGCGUGCCUAAUACAUGCAAGUCGAGCGAACGGACGAGAAGCUUGCUUCUCUGAUGUUAGCGGCGGACGGGUGAGUAACACGUGGAUAACCUACCUAUAAGACUGGGAUAACUUCGGGAAACCGGAGCUAAUACCGGAUAAUAUUUUGAACCGCAUGGUUCAAAAGUGAAAGACGGCCUUGCUGUCACUUAUAGAUGGAUCCGCGCUGCAUUAGCUAGUUGGUAAGGUAACGGCUUACCAAGGCAACGAUGCAUAGCCGACCUGAGAGGGUGAUCGGCCACACUGGAACUGAGACACGGUCCAGACUCCUACGGGAGGCAGCAGUAGGGAAUCUUCCGCAAUGGGCGAAAGCCUGACGGAGCAACGCCGCGUGAGUGAUGAAGGUCUUCGGAUCGUAAAACUCUGUUAUUAGGGAAGAACAUAUGUGUAAGUAACUGUGCACAUCUUGACGGUACCUAAUCAGAAAGCCACGGCUAACUACGUGCCAGCAGCCGCGGUAAUACGUAGGUGGCAAGCGUUAUCCGGAAUUAUUGGGCGUAAAGCGCGCGUAGGCGGUUUUUUAGUCUGAUGUGAAAGCCCACGGCUCAACCGUGGAGGGUCAUUGGAAACUGGAAAACUUGAGUGCAGAAGAGGAAAGUGGAAUUCCAUGUGUAGCGGUGAAAUGCGCAGAGAUAUGGAGGAACACCAGUGGCGAAGGCGACUUUCUGGUCUGUAACUGACGCUGAUGUGCGAAAGCGUGGGGAUCAAACAGGAUUAGAUACCCUGGUAGUCCACGCCGUAAACGAUGAGUGCUAAGUGUUAGGGGGUUUCCGCCCCUUAGUGCUGCAGCUAACGCAUUAAGCACUCCGCCUGGGGAGUACGACCGCAAGGUUGAAACUCAAAGGAAUUGACGGGGACCCGCACAAGCGGUGGAGCAUGUGGUUUAAUUCGAAGCAACGCGAAGAACCUUACCAAAUCUUGACAUCCUUUGACAACUCUAGAGAUAGAGCUUUCCCCUUCGGGGGACAAAGUGACAGGUGGUGCAUGGUUGUCGUCAGCUCGUGUCGUGAGAUGUUGGGUUAAGUCCCGCAACGAGCGCAACCCUUAAGCUUAGUUGCCAUCAUUAAGUUGGGCACUCUAAGUUGACUGCCGGUGACAAACCGGAGGAAGGUGGGGAUGACGUCAAAUCAUCAUGCCCCUUAUGAUUUGGGCUACACACGUGCUACAAUGGACAAUACAAAGGGCAGCGAAACCGCGAGGUCAAGCAAAUCCCAUAAAGUUGUUCUCAGUUCGGAUUGUAGUCUGCAACUCGACUACAUGAAGCUGGAAUCGCUAGUAAUCGUAGAUCAGCAUGCUACGGUGAAUACGUUCCCGGGUCU
This 1371-nucleotide ribosomal RNA is filed under the name uncultured bacterium. RNAcentral's name for it is "bacterial SSU rRNA". It matches the Rfam family "Bacterial small subunit ribosomal RNA", at positions 28 to 1381 of the family's 1533-position model. The record is from RNAcentral.